RNAcentral lists this long non-coding RNA (36085 nucleotides) under Brachypodium distachyon (stiff brome). RNAcentral describes it as "long non-coding RNA (BDIS_LNC000038)". The stretch from base 21461 to 21584 matches the Rfam family "MIR1120/MIR1122 microRNA precursor family". The record is from RNAcentral. Lineage: Eukaryota; Viridiplantae; Streptophyta; Magnoliopsida; Poales; Poaceae.
CCGAUUUUUCCAAUUGAAUGACCAAACGUAUACGAUAUCGAGUCAAUAUUGCCAAUGCGGUGACUCAAUACAUAUGCAUGAAAGACGAAAUCUCGUACAUGUUCUUAGCUAUUAAUUAUGCUACGUAGAUGACGAAACCUAGCAAUAUGAACCCCUAUAUAUGAUGACCUUGAUCGCCUAUGGCUCCUUCCUACGACAAGGCCUGUUUUUGCCUUCACAUGAUCAUAGCGAUUUCGGAACGACUGGGCGUGCAAUGAUGCAUGUACAAUUUUGACACGACGAUGUGUGUUUUCGGUUGCACACUUGCGCGCUAAUCUUCUUACUCUGGCCCACCGUCUGAUUGUAUCCGUGGUCGCAAUAACAAGUUUGAACUAAUAAUCUAGAGUAACAUAAUCCACCGUAGUAUUAAAAAUAAUUGUAAAAACGUCAACAGUUUAACAUACUAGAGCAAAUUAACAUGCAUGCAUGGUGACCAAAUUAAUUACACAUGUACAUAUAAUCAUCGCUGAAUCCCCAUCGUUGAAACUUUAAAAUUACAAGUAGUCCAUCGAUCGAUCAUCAUCAUCCCCGCACCCCAUCAACUGCUACGUACGGAUGAACUAAUUAACACACGCAUGCAUGCAAAUAUACGAUGCUUAAUUAAUUAACACCGAUCGAUCCCCAUUAAAACCAAACCACAUCGAUCAGACGUCGAAGGUGUUCUUGCCGGUGAACUUGACCUCAAUCGGGCUAACAUUCUUCCCGAUGCUCCUGAAAUUCUGCCCGACGCCCUGCCUGCCGGCGUUCACCUUCUCCGGGUACACCCCGUCCUUGGGGUGGAGGUACUGCACCUCGCCGCUGGGGAAGACGCGGUAGAACUGGUAGGCGAUCUUGUACUUGGAGCGGAGCCGGUUGCCGAGCGCCAGGCACUGCUCCUUGCGCGCCAGCUUGAGGAGGUUGGGCCCCUCACGCAUGAUGGCGGCGCCGCCCGUCGGCAUCUCGAACACCUGCUCCUUGGGCGACGUCCACGUGAUGACGUAGAAUUCCUCGACCUGGGCUUUGCGGAGGAGCCCGCCCGUGCUGCCGCCGAAGAUUGGGGAUGGGGUUGAGGGGUCGAGCUGGGGCGGGACGAAGCCGGCGGGGGCUGGGGUGGCGACGGGAGCCGCCGGGGUUUCUGGGGCGGCGGCGUGGAGGGCGGUUGGGGCGCGGGAGGUGGGGGAAGGGAAGGCGAGGGAGCGGGGUUUGGGGGAGGAGGAAGGGGACCGGGUGGCGGCGAGGAGGUGGCGGGUGGCGGCGGAGGCUUGCGUGGCCAUGGCCAUGGCGGGAGCUAGCUUAGCGAGAGCAAGGAGCGCGCGUGUGGGGGAUGGAUAUGGAUCGGAGUUGAUGGAGGGAAGAAGAAGAAGGGGUGGCUGAGCUUUGGCUAAAGAGGGGAUUGGGGGUGGAGAAGCGGAUAAGGGGAUAUGAGGCCGGCCAAUGGGGAGCCCGGGUUUUGAUACGGCCGGAGCGGGAGGCUUGGCGUGGCGACCACAGAAAACACAAUACAAAUCGCAGCGUGUCAACGUGCACUGGGGUCGCCGGUCGCGGUUUUCCGUGGAUUUUCCUUCCACUCUGUAUGUAUCCGACGACGUUCUAGAUCUUUUCCGUAAAGAGUUGCUUUAGUCGAUUUAAGGUGAGAGCAUUGGAAGCACUACAUGUAACGUGAAACACUGGCGUAACGUAAGUUGUAUUGCUCCAUAACCAGCUGCGACAUUCAUGUAGUGCUUACAUUGUAGUAGAAGGUAAGUACAAGUACAAGGGCUGCCGAGUGUACAGGUGUGCCGUUGAUUCAGGCCGGGAAUUGGGGACGUUGUCACGUUGACUUGGCCCAAACAAAGGAGAGUAGACUACUCUAAUUUGGUCUUCCCUGGAAACCUGGAGAGCCUGUCUCCUAGUGGUACAGGCUUAUGUUGCAGGCCGGGCUACAGGUGCGUAUUACGUAUUGGCUGGGCCGGCCUUUUCUGGGCCGGACAAGAUCGGUAGAAACAAUUUUUCCGAGGCAGGUAAACUGGCUCUAACGAAAUUUGCUGAAUUUGUUUUAUGAAUUUGGUGUAAAAAAAUACACAUGAAAGUAUGAUUAAAUUUAUCAGCGAAAUAAUUCAAUAAGAAAAAACAUGGGUACAUGAAACGGGAUUAUCAGAAACAUUCACGUUGUACCCCCUCCGUCCUAAAUAAGAAGUCCUAGGUUUAUAGAAAAGUCUAGAACUAUAAAUUACUUUUAUGAAAUCUUUCAUCGUAUGGCACCAUCUUUAUCUCGCCUUCAGCAUCGAUAUUCAGAGCCUUGAUUCCACCUGAUCAUCAUUGGGUCAGCUUGUUUCUGUUCGUACGAUGUCUCACAUACCAACCGAUUCUACACUCUGUACAUCAUCGAUGACCAUAAGGAUUUGCGCUAAUCCGCUCCUCCCGUUGUCCAUCGUCCGUCCGUGUGAGUCAUCUUGUAGCUCGCUCGUGUCAUCCUGCGUGCAUGUUCUCUUUCAGAAUGGUGAGAGGGCAUGCCUGCUCAAAUAUGGGACAGCAUGUCAACAAGCUCCCAUUCACUCUCUGCCACAUAUCCAGAUGAUGCUUGAAAUGCUUGAAAACUAAUGCAUGACGGGAGUUGGCAGGAGACAAGGGUGAUGACCUAAGGGGCCACGAAAAAGAAAAGAGGAAGAGAAAAUACAAGGACAUUUUGGUCUAAAUUCCUACCGUGUUUCUGUAAGUUUCAAGAAGUUGAUGUCGAAUUUAUCCGAAAUUGGUUUUUCUCAGCAGCUUCUAUUAAUACAGAAAAAUUGUCCUUGCAAUGGCAUUUAGCCAAUUAAUUAUAAGGAAAUAGUUUCUUGAAUCUUCAAAAUAAUCGUAUGAAAGAAAACCAUGCGGUUGCAAAUAUGGAUCCUUUCAACACCCACGUUUUCUUCAACAAAACAAGUCUUAGAAAAUAUAGCCGCUGCACCCACGACCCAACCUAGGGCGCCAAAGCCAAACUGUAGACCAGAAAAACCCUGGACCAUCCACGCCGUCCAUCUCCGAUCCUACGUCCACGGGCUUCCCCACGGCGAAGAGCAGCGGCCUCGAUAUAGGAGGGAGUCGCUGCUUCGUCGGCCCUUCUCGCCAAAGGAAACGCAGCCCAGGAAGCAACAGCCUCAUCUCCCCCCCUCCCAAGAACUCCCCUCUCUGCUCCAAGCUCCGGCCCCCAAUCUCCUGCAGAUUUCUCCCCCGCGAAUCGCCGGCGGAGCAGCGGAUCUGCGAGCAUUCUCUCGCCCCCUUCGGUCUCCUGGCGGCGCACGGGCGACCAUGGCCUAGGGUUUUGCUCUCGCCCUCUCUCGCUGAACUGCUGGGAACCCGGCGCCGCUGGGCUAGACCGUGCCGGCGGCUGAGCUAGGGCGUGUUCGGGGCAGGUCGGGCGUGGCGGCGGCUGGUCGGGGAAGCAAGUCGGGCCUGGCGGCGCGCUGACCUGGGAUAGGAGGAGGGCCACGAGUGUUUGCGGCGGCAAGACCGGCAACCGGCAGCAGGACCUCCUCUGCUUCAGUUUCGGCUUCUGGUGGUUCGUUGCUCCGAAUCCUGAGGUAUAAACCCUAACUCACUGUUGAUUCGUGGAGAAGUUGUGGAUCCGGUUGGUGGCCAGUAGAUCCGCUUGGUUUCGCCCUUCCUCGGUUUGAUUAUGUUGGUAGAUGAGUUGAAAUCCCUCCGUUAGCACUGUUACUUCUGGAGAAGAGGGACGUUUUUUUUUUGCCUUGCACCGGCAGUUUGUAGUGGGAGUAUGUGCUUCUGACUUCCAUUUUUUGUUGUAAAAUAGUAGUACUCCGUAUUUGUUUGGUUAAUUGUUCAUAUUUAUUGCAAAAACUUCUCCACAAACUAUUGAUGUGUUGCGUUUUGUUGUUGUUGCUAAACACUCAAACUGGCCAUCACCGGCUUAACCAAACAUUCAAAGUGACUCAUCCAAGUCCAUCAAAUCUUGGUCGCCUGCCCACCCGUCUGCCCAUCUUCAACCAAACUUAGUUUCAGUUUAUACUUUGUACCCCAACUAUGCUUUUACUACCAGCUAGAGGAGAUUUAACAGUCACUCGAAGAUGUCGAAUCUACCCGUAGAGAACUAUUUUAUAUAUUUUUUAAAUUCAUUCUGGUCUGCAGUUUAGGAUUUAGCUGCUGACGGAUUUGCUCUUUCAGGAUAACGAUGGAUCAGGAUAAGGAAUCAAGACCCUCAAGGUCACCCAGUGAGCCAAACUUAUUCCUGCAAUGGGGCAGCCGGAAGCGGCUUCGCUGUGUCAAGACACGCGAAGAUGGCUCGCCAUCACCAGCUCGGUCUGAUGUGCUUAGACGUACCAUACCCCGAGUAAAUCGGCCCCUUCUGGGUGGUGAUGUUGCACAAUUUCGUUCACCACGGCGCCCAAGCACUCUUCAUAGCAGGUAAUUCCCAUACGCAUAUGCCCCUUUUGUGUAGCAGUGGAAAAUGUCAAGAAAUGCCUUAGUAGGGUGUCUCAACAUGAUGUUUGUCAGCAGGAAAUCUGAGGCACAGGCGAGUGAGAACAGGCAGUCCAUGUCGCUCUCGCCAGAGAAAGACCGGUAUUACUCCACUAGGGGUUCCCCAUUUCAUUUUGAGGGGAAUGGUUUUGAUUUCAAUGGUGGAGUGGAAGAGAAGGGCACCACAGCUCUGCCAAGGUUCUUCAUCUCACUGUCCAACAAGGAGAAAGAGGAGGACUUCAUGGUAAUGAAGGGCUGCAAGCUUCCACAGAGGCCGAAGAAGAGGCCAAAGUUGAUGCAGAAGUCCUUGCUUGUAAUGCUUUCUUCCACAAAUUUAACUGCAAAGUUUUGCUCUUUUCAAAGCUGUGAAUUGUGUUCAUGCUCAUUUCUAACACUCUUGUUUUUCACCGUUGUGCAUGUCCAUAGAUGGUAUGCCCAGGAGCAUGGCUGUCAGACUUGUCACAUGAGAGGUAUGAAGUUAGAGAGAAGAAGAGUUCCAAAAAGGUAAACCUAGACUGCAAUCAUUUCUGUUUGGUUGCAAGUAACCUAACUGUUCUCUUAGUUCAAAUUUAAGUUCAUCUGUGUACAGUUGUUAACACGUGCAAAAUCAUUCAGCAGAGGGCUAGAGGACUGAAGGCUCUGUGCAUGGAGAGUGAUUCAGAGUAGAGAUUGAGGAGGGGGUCAAUUUUUUUUGACUUGUGCUGGAGGCAGAAAGACAGCGGUACUUAAGUAGCAAUGGUGGCUCUUUAACUAGACAAACCUCAGCAGCUAAUUUAGCAGGGGGGAUCAGUGCCUGCGCCCCUCCCUUAUUCACCCAUGUUGUAUGUCCAUUAUCCCACCCCCUUUUUUUUGUCGAGACUCGAAAGAAAUUGUCACCUGGAACUAUUGCACAAUGACCAAAUCAGUAAUCUUAGAUUCUGCCUGAUCUAGUGAUCCUGCUCUAGUUUCGAAAAACGACCUAGGUUUGUGGGUUGGUUAUGACUGAUAUUGCUGUGGUCACUUGGAUGGAGGUUUUGUGGGCACCUGGUUGUUCAUGCAUGAUCUUUCCACCUCUGUAGCCGGUGGUUGGUCGGUAUACUGCUUAGACUACCCUUGUCUUGGGCUUUCAGAGUGGUUCGAUGCCUCGGUAGUUUUUGUUUGGUGGCUCCGUUGGUUGGUGCUUAUCUGGGACAUAACCAAUGGAUGCCAUCACCUCCAUUUCGCAAGUUUAACCUACCUCGUGAGGAAGAAGGAAAGAACUCUUCAUUCUUUUAACAGCAAAGAAGGAAAAGACUCUUUGUCGAGCCUUUUUGCAGGCCUGUGGAAAAAACUCUUGAAAUCUGAAAUCUGCGGGGUUCCUAGACUCCCGACCUGUGCUAGAGCCCAUGGACCUGUUCCUAAAGACCGCCGACGCUUCCGGCCUCGAAGAUAAUGCCAGCCCAGUAGAUGAGAACAUCUCGGUUCUCGACGAGGACGGGCUCAGCAGCUAGUCAGUCAGUCAACCCAUGUCCAAUGACUCCACUAUCCAGUUUCUUCGCUCAAAAAAAAAGAAAAAUCCAGUGUUUUCCUUCUUUUUUUCGGACGGAGGCAGCCCUAAAUCGCCCGAUGAUCAUGGACAUGCCGCCCGUACGUACUCUGGAGUAUGGUAAGUACACGCACUGUACAAUCGGUAAGGACAUACGGAUCGAACCGGUCGCCACGGACCGUGAGACAGCUCGUCAACGGCUCAGCGCUGCUGCUCUUGCAAGAAACAAUACGGCAGAGGAAGCAAUGCAAGCUUGACUGGCCCGGCCCCGGACCCUGGGAUCCGUCCAUGGCUGAACCUGGCAUGACAUGGAUGAUGGAUCUUUGCUUGCUCCCCAGCCAGAUAGCCAGGCCAAAUCUUCCAUCUUCAAUGGCACCGAUAUGAUCAAUGGAUAUACGAAGCACAUACAUAUCUUCUUUUUAAUAUUCUGGAGUACCGACUGUACAUCCUUUUCCACCUUCAUGUUAAACAAAACUAUACCUGACACAUUCAAACUGCCCAUGAAGGAAUAAUCAAAGAGGACAGAUGUCUUGAUGCUCUGAUGGCUGUCCAGUACCCAGUACCAGCACAGUUAUCAGUUGUUUGUUGGCAUUGAGCAUUUACCAUUUGUCGGUUCAUGGCACACAGGCUGCUGAACUAACGGGCAAAGUUUAAAAGCACGCAAGGCUUCCACAGCACCACAACACGACCAGUUCAAGGUUCACCGGUAAUUAUACUGAAUCUCUCCCGGACGCAUUGCUCCUUUCGAUGCGCCAUAGUGGCAUCCAAAGGAGAGAAAGUCGUCAAGAGAAAUAAUAAAAGCAAGGCACUAAGGCCCCCUUUGGUUAAGCCCAAGAGAGAGCAUACUCCAUGACCAGAAACAAGAGCCAAGUGAAUCAACCAUAUAGGUGAAAGGAGGAAGAGGGUGGUAGGCCACAGCCACAGGCGCACCAACAACAUGCCCAUGCUUCUCUUCAGAAGACUGGCACAGAAAGAGGGAGGGGAAAAAAAGCUCGAGAGAAAAACUAGGAAAGCAACACUGGGACCCCAUUCACAUGACACACGCUAAUCUAGGGCUAAGAAAAACUUGUGCAGAUGGUGUAUUACACUUGAAUGGAUCACUCAGUCAGGGUGUCUUCUGGUCACUGGCAGCUUGCGCUCCUGCCGGGGCCUCCAUAGUAGAAGUAUGAUCCCCAGUCGCCAUUGUUGCCGUUCUGCACGUCGUAGCAGUUCGACUGCUCGGUGAAUGUGCCCACCCCCUUGGGGGCCUUGAGGUUGUUGGUGUUGUCCACCACUUGUAUGUUUUUGAAGUAGCUCGACUUGCUGAACCCUUCCUCUGGGAAGUGCCCGCUACCCAUCUGUGUCGACGUGUGCACGCCGCCGGGCUGCGAGUUCACCACCUCCCCGCCCCACUCGAUCAUCGACGCACUGUCCGCGAGGUAGGAGAAGAGGAAGGACGGCCAGUAGCCGAGGACGUACUCCUUGCCAAACUGCAUCCACCAGUGCCCCUCUUUCGGGUCCUGCUCAACAUAACAUAAGCCUCAGAAAUCGUUUAGAUGACAUGCGGCAUUACAGUACCAGGCGUGUCAAUGCUACGCAAUCAUUAGCACCGACAUACCACAAACUAGACUUUGAGUAAAGGGGAACAAGGGUAGCCAGUUUAGCACCGAGAUGCCGACAUUCAUGUUGCACUAAGCACUUAAGCAGGCCUAUGUAUGCACUCAUCACCCGUGCUCAAUAGAAAUGAAAAACCACUUGACUUUCUAUCUCAAACUCUUGCUUGUUGAGGUAAAAAGGUAGCAAUGCUUCAUGAGACUUCUUUUGACAAACACAAGCUAGAGUAAUCAUCAAGGCUAAAAAAGGUUGUUGACAAAAGAUGUAUUAUAACCACAGGGUUAUGUGGGGGUACUAAAAUAAUUCCCCAGAGUUCAGUCAAGGUUUCAAGGAGCAAGAGUAAAGAAGAGCACAGGAGCAAGUUGGCAGAGACUCUCUGGCCUGCAUGUUUGUGUCAAAUUUCUCUGACCGUAAAAUAGGGCCUGGCAUGUGUCAUGUGUAGUGACUUGUAUCUACAUAGUCCUAGAUUACCUUCCAGAUGAGUAUGCUGAUGUCAUAUUGGGAUCCGGAGUAGCCUGAGAUGGGGAAGAUGCUGGCUCCCAUGGCGACCUCACUGUUGAUCUGAACGAACCCUGCACAUAGUAUGUUGUAGCACCCUGUUGCCUGGUACGCGUCGCUCUACACAAUGCAAAAGAAUUGCAUUUAGUGAACAUCAACACGUCAUAAACAAGCACAUCCCACCAAAUUGCAGGGGUUGAUUUUGCUUACUGUCCAGUAGGUGAACAGCCUUGUGUGGUUGUCCCCGUAGAGGUCCGGACUAACCUGACGAAUCAAAGAAGCAAAAAAGAAGUUCAGAGCUCGUGACACCAACCACAACACAGGAAGAGAGCUAUGCUUCUAUCAACCGCGAAAACGGUGCUGCAUUUACUCUCUACAUGAGCGAUGGAACUGGAGGCAAAGCUCAUGAAGCAGUUGUCUGUGUCUGGUUUACCUGCCAGCCAGCCUCGAUGCUGUUGAGGUCUUCGCCGAAUGUGCCACCCAAGAUCCACAGCUGGGACAGACUGAACUCGUUGGGCUGCUCUAUCUUGGGCUCCCACACGUUGAUCGUCGCCUUGGCGCCAUAGUACUUCUCGCCUUGCACGUACGAUAUCGCGUGCUGAAAACACAAAUUCCACGGCCGGUGAUUAUGGAUUAUACGGCAGGCAGGCUCAAUCAGGAACUCUGAAGAUAGCUAGAUGAGUACAAAUACAAUGUGGGAGGACGUACUUGAUGGCCACCCUCGUUGAGCAUGGAAAGAUCGACAGACAUGGGGUUCGCCACCGUGUGCCGCUUCCUGCCGUACCGCCGGAUCGAGCUCGCCCGGAGCAGGUCGUCCUUCUUGGUCCUCCGGACCGGCACGGUGCCUUCCGGGCACCUGCCCUUCUGGUGCCACAGCUGAACCAUAGGCCUCUCGCCGUCGCCGGAGGAGGCCACAUUGGCCUUGGAUUCGUCGAACAGGCCUUCCGGGUGGUAGUUCGGCCUCAUCUGGAGCAAGCCAAAAUGCUUUAGGAAUAAACCAUAAUCGAAACCAUGGCUUGUACUGACGCAGUUGGAGUCAAAUUUACCUGGAUAGUGUGGUUCUUGAGGAAAGGGUGGUCGAAAGCCGGCUGGUGUGAGAUGUGCACGCAGUCUAUGAUGUCCCCAUCAGGGCUCUGCUCCAUCGAUUCAGAAAACCAAAAUUAGCUGUGUUUGAGCAAGGAUUGGGAGAGAACAGUAUUGCAAAAAGACAGUAGUUUGGCAUCCACUGAAGACUAAGAAUUAGCACAAAAGUUAUGCAAUAAAGAAAUUCGUGCAAGAACAAACACAAAGUGCCACCAGGAGGGGGGAGUGGGGUAUCUUUCCUGUAAAAUUUACACUGGUAUGCUUAAUGUGGCCAAAAGAAAGAUGAGGACUUUUGCACGAAAUGGUAUAAAGACUAAAGAGAAAGAGCGAAUCUCCCCCCAAGAACAAACCACACAAAAAGCCCCGGAGAAAGGCCAUCCUUUUGAAUUAGAUUAGAACUUUAAGAGAUUAGCCAAGAAACUGCAGCUGCCAUCUCGCUCAAAUCCCUCCCAAAUGCAGCUCCUUACAAACGCUAGCUUCGACUGGGAAGGGAAGGAAUCCCCAUCGAGAAAAGCCAUUCAAAUCUUGAGAAGAAGAGCGACAGCAAGAAGACAAUCUCGAAGGGACCUACGCACCUCGAUGCUCUUGACCGCGGGCUUGUUGAGGCGCUUGAGGUGCCGGUGCAUCCUGGCUUCGGGCGACCUCGCCGCGGCGGCGCACGAGAGGCACAUCACUGCCGCCGCGGCCGCCGCCACCAUCAGGCGCGCGACGACACGCACACGCGCGGUGGCCAUGGGCGGCGCUCCGCUCCUCCGCCGCCUCCCCUGCCCCCUCUCGCUCCCGGCUCCGGCUAAAACUCUGAAGACAGAAAAUCCCUUCUCUCUCUACCAAAGACGACCCACGCCGCCGGGGACCGCCGCCGCCGCAAGGCCGGCUCCGAGGGCCUGCCUGCGAAUUUCGAAACAAUGCGGGGGGUGGGGAUGGGAUGGGAUCAGCAGUGGCACGCUCUCUCGCCGCUUCUUGGGCGCCUCGCCGUCUCGGGUUGGGAGGGAUGGGGAGCGGCCGCUAGCGCCUAGUGGUAGUAGUGGGCAGUGUAGGGAGACCCGGCUGUACUAGUUGGUGGCAAGAGAGAGGGCUAGAGGAGCACUCUCGCUCGCACGCUGCAACUUUUGCCGUUUUCCGAGCUUUAACUUCCCUGUAUUCCUGGACCGAAAUGCCCCUUCCUGGUUCGAAAAUUACUUGGGGGCACCCGGAGUACAACAUGGCGGUCUCGGUGAGACUAGGGCUACUCUGAUUCAAAUAAAUAUUCACUCCGUCUCGAAAUAAUUGACUUGAAUUAUUUUGAAUUCUUAUACAAAUUCACGUCAUUUAUUUUAGGACGAAGAAAGUACAUAAGAAUUUUGAAGGAUUUAAAUUCUAAAGACCAUUUUCUUUGCUGGUCGUUUCAUGCACAGUGCUAGAAUCGUUGAGAAUUUUUUUAUGGAUCUUUUGCACUCUAUUUUUGAAGGAAAUCUCCAUUCAAACUUCUAUGUUAGAAUUCAUUUGUUUUUUUGUUCUUAUCCUAAAAGAAGGAAAUUCAUUUGUUUUUUUGUGGUGUGUUAAACAUUCCUUGGAUACUAAUUCUGUACUUUUCAAUCUUAUAGGAUUAUCUUCGAAUGAUUCUUAAGAAAAAUAUGCAACAUUGAUGCUCCCUCCAUUCCAAAAUAUACAUUUCAUAAGUUGACUGUCAGAUUUUCAAAAGUUUAACCAAGCUUAUAGCAAAAAAUAUUCAGUGUCAAACCAAGAUAGUAUGCAAAUAUAUUUCACAAUUGAUAUUAUGAUCUUGAUCCAACACUGCAUGUGUUGGUAUUUUUGUUAUAAGACUGACCAAAUUUAAGACAAUCAACAAAAGUUGUACGUCUUAUUUUUAUAAUGGAGAGAGCAGAUGCUAAGAUUGGCUUAUUCUAAAAGCUAGUCACUCCUUGUAGGAUUAUAAGACUUUGUUCUGAAAAUCUUCUUACAAAGACAAGAAUAAAUAAAUAAAUGAUACAACCUAACACAUGUAUAGUAAGAAAUUUUAAGCUAAGCCAACGUGAUUACUUGUACUGUCUGAUCAUCUUGUGACUUGACAAUAGUUCACUGAGAUGAUACCAAAAAUCAUGAUCAACCAGCACCGGGAGAAAAAUAGCUUUGACAUCCGUACGGCUUACAGGGUUUGGUGGCGCGCAGUCAAAUUAAUCCUUCCCUACCAACACCCGGCGAAACGAACUCGGGGUUAUAAAACCCGAACAUGCUCUUUGUUUCUCGGACGGGUGCCGUCGUCGUCCUCCGUUCACGCCUUGGACGUGCGUUACGUGCAUACAGGCCCGGGCCAACCCAAACGGCUUUAUCCCGUUCUCCCCGGGAGCCCGAAGCGUGCGUGUGCUUGCAUGGCCCCGUUGGUAAUUUCGCUCCAGUCCAGUCCACCGGCUGGCUGUGGGCCAGCAGUCAGCAGUCAGCAGGCCCCACCCACAGUGGGGAAUCGGCCGCGCCACCUACCUCGGGUCCCCGUUUGCGUUUCCCCACGGGUCGCUGGAGAGUGGGGGCCGGAACACGUCGGACCCACAUGGCGUUGGUGGCUUCCGGCGCGUGCGGCCGCGGCCCAUGUCCGGCACAGUGCGUUCGCAUCGGAUCCGGACGCAACGCACCGUCAAAACUGAGACGACCGGGUCUCGGACUCUCGUUGGUGAGGGGAAGAGAAGAGUGAUUAAGUAGCGCUGGUGCUUUCACUUUUACUUGCUUGCACGGGAGCUGCAAGAAAAGAAGAAGACCUACGGACAAAGUACAGGCCAUGGCUAAUUUUAUGCAUGUUUGCAGUAGUACGAGCACCGUCGUACUAAUAAUAAUUCUUUAACGACUAAUCAUGGCAUCUAGGCAUGCAUGCAGGCAAGCACACGGCGGCCGCUGCAAAACUGCGUGGCAUGUUUUCGAACCAAUAGGAUCGUACGAGUUGCCUACCGACUACCAAGAAACUAGUACUAACAAACCCAUACACCUGCAAUUUUAAUCUUGUGGCCGACGCCUGCAAGAAUCGGCGCCAAAUGGUCAAAGUUCGUGCAGAGAACAAAAUGUUGCCCCUACACUGGCAGCACAAAAGCCUCUACGAAUAUUUAACUGCGCUUUGUUCCAGACACUUGUUUGGGAUGUUUCGCACUUUGGUACUAGCACCAGUAUCACUCCCAGACAGUGCAAAUCAGAGGCCAGUCAGCAGCAGCAACGACAAUAAUAAGUAUUCCUCCUGGUAAAACCUGGUACCACUGCUAUACUAAUUAAAACGUAAACAACCCCUGGUAAACCCCUGCGACCGAUAAUUAUAGUGCCUAUGCAUGCACAGCUGCCGGGUUUGGUUUGGUUCGCGCGAUGCUGAAGCAGCAGCUAGCAGCGUCAACACAUCGUCAAAGCAGCCCUGACCAUGCAGUACCGCAGUGCGAGUAGUAAAAUGCUACGAUUGCCCGGAUCUUACAGUCUCGGUAAGAGGGUGAAAAUAACGUGCUAAAUAGAAGGCUACAAAAUUAAUCCAGGAACAGUACGUGUGGUCCUUGCCUGACCGAUGGGCCCACAUGGCAGGAAGAGUAUUGGGUCAGGUCAAGGCCGGAUGUAUCAGGCUCACAAGACCGGUUGUACCCUCAGUGAUGGAAUGGUGCAGGCGUGCAUCACCAGAAGCGGUGAAAAAGUUUUCACUCUAUCGCUGGGCUGCAUUUAAGGUUCUUCAUUUUCUUUUUCACUCUUCUGAGGUAAUGUCUUGAUAUUUGAUAAGCUGAACACUCUAUCUAGCUAGUAUGACCACUUAAUUAAUAAGCCGGAUGCAUUAUUUCGGUACACUAGCACUAGCAUGUGCUUGAUGUACAAGCUGAAGCUUAAGUAAAACGGAAGCAUAUGGCAAGCAGAAGGAAUCCAUCCUGACGAGGCAGAAAGCCAUCCGUUUUGCUUUAGCUCCUGGCGCUUUUCAUGCACAAACACUUGAAAGACACCUUUCUUUCCUAUACUUACUUUCAUGCCUCUAUUAUUUAGUUAGCACUUCUCAACAAGAAAAAAGUGGUCACCAAAAGCUAGCGGUACUCUACGCAAAUGGUCACUUCCCAGCCGUAUAAGAGCCGAAUCAUUGCACUACCUCACUCACUUUAGUAUGCAGCUUGUGUGGCGCAAAAUUGGAACAAAGUUCAACACAAGCUCUAAGAUGGGGUGAUUUGUAUAUCCAUGCAUGGACAUAAAAUUUGUCAGGUCAUGGCAUGGAGACAGGAAGCUAGUAUGUAUUACACGUCAGCUUAAUUAGCCUGUGACGUGCUGACAUGCCUGGGAAUGGCGAUCAGGCGAUGGGCAUUGGGACCCAAGGUAGAGAACAGAAGAGGGGUCAUUGGCACAAUUCAAAGCCGUUCUUGGUCACAUGGUGUGCUCCUUUAGCGAGCAAAGCUGGCAGGCUUUGUCCAGUUGCGCUAGCUGAAGCCGCUAAACAGUAAACAUACAGUGCAACCCUUUCUCAGUCUUGCUAUCACCAUUAAAUUUAUGGUCAGGAUCUCAAACUCCCUGCAGCACACCCAAUUAAUUAGGGCAGAGUGCAUGGAUGGAUGGAUGCAUAUAUGCUUGGCCGUAAGGACUCUAUAAUUAAACUAGUGGUACAGGAAUAUAAUCUGGCAAAGAAAGAUGGCCAUAUGCACUUUGGGCUCUUGAUGGUGUGCUAACCAGCUAAAGUUUGCCUGUACUGACAGAGAUGUGUCGUCCCAUGCAGAUCACUGUCGACUCGCAAGCCUUGUAGAGUCGGCCUCGUUGAAUUAACUCUGAUCAUUCUCAAUUCAUCAUUCUCGCCACCGGCCAACCUUGAAAAAUCAGACCACCUGUAUCAACAACAUGCAUUGGUGCACGGUCUACUGUAAACCCUACAGCUACGGUUUAGAUAAGUAUGCAUCUUCCCCUGAGCGUGAGAGCGUCCACAUCCAGGGGAUUGCAUGGCCUAGCCAAGGAGCCACUAGAGAAACCACCAUACAAGCGGCCCGUGAGCUAUAUAUACAGGCUCAUUUAUCUGACAGAUUUCUUGUGUGUGCGUUUGAGAUGCCAAAUGAGAUCGAUGUCUCACCAAAAUGAGACUAGACCUUGCCUUAGCAUGUACAGUACAAGACACAUGAAUAAUUUGGUGGUACGUGUUGGGCAAAUGGACAUGGGUACGUGAUGGGUCCGGUCAAUCACAAAGUGUCGCAUGCAUAUGUAUGUUCACCAGAAAAUUUUACCUGGAUUUUGUCCUCCCCUGUGCCUCCUAUGAGUACAACGUUUACUGAAGAAUAUAUACCAGGCUAUUAGCUAUAUGCUCUACUUUCUACUCGAACACGGUGAGAUUCUAGACCUUAGCUAGGCCCUCUUCUCAUCUCAGUAUUCUCCAGGCUUAGAAUACAGGGCUCAAAGAGAUGUACUACUUAACCACAUUUAGGAUGAAUCAUAAAUUGUAAAAGAUCAAAGGACAGAAAGACAGAGGCUACAUUUGACAGAUACUCCUAUAUCGCUUGCCCGUGAAGCGAUUACGAAUUGCCUAGGAGGCUACGAGCCCAGCCCUUUUACAAGUGCUCCUCCUCCUCUUACGUUCCAGAUGAGAGAUUAAUGGCUAUUGCCGCAAGAUAUAUAGGAAGUGCCCAAGGCCUAGCACACACGCGCAAUAAUGGAGGACCCAUGGCUAAAAAGCUGGAUCAGUGUUAGUACCAUGGUACUAGAUAGCUGCUUUUUUAUGGUAACCGGAGGCCCAUGGGACCCUUAUGUGCUCACGGUCCAUGAGGCCAGUCCUCGCAUGUGCCGAGGUCACAAUUCCACAUACUCAAUGAGGGACUCUUCAUCUAAUCCAUUUGAUCAAUGAUAGUAAUAUCGAAAGCUACAGUUUAACUGUAGCGAAUUGUUUGUUUGGCCAGAUUGACCUGUCGUCGAUUUAAAAUCUAGAUGUGGUUAUGGAUAUAAUGCAUAGAUGGAAAGGCAAUCUUCAGCUACCUUCCUGUUGGAUACUCUUUUUAAGAUAAUGGUAGAUGUACACGCAUUGACGUGAAAACGUACCAACAGAUACAGAAGAAUUUUAUAGACCUACGGUCAUACACCCUGUAUAGAGAUGUGGAAAAUAUGUGCUGGAGUACAUUCAGUCUGGCGUACCUUAAUGAAUCUGAAAGAAGUCUGGAGUAUAUUCAGUCUCUCGACUUUUCAAGGCUGGAAGCCAAGAGAAAGCUGGGACUUCCAAUGACAAUAGAGCUGACAAGAGGAAAGGAGACAGUAAAAUUUAGGUGUCCAUGGUAACCAGAGCAGAAGCACAGAAAACACAUGCAAUGGCUCAGCAUAAAAUCCCCAUACCCCCUAUCCCGUACUUAUCCUCUGACCAGGGAUAUUAAAAAAUUUAUUAACAACGAAACAGAUCAUUAACGCAUAUACAUAAUUGGACGACCACAUAUGAUGCCAAAAGACAGAAAGCAUAAUCAUUACAUAAUUAGUGCUUCUGACCAAAACCCACUGCUCUGAUUACCUGAAAGAAGCAUGACAAAAGUGCUAUGCUCUCAGAUAUUCUCCUCGCCUUCACAUCCUGAAGAAAAAAAGGUUCCAGAGUUGUACAAGCAUAUCGCCGGUUUCUUACCAACACAGAUAGAGACGGGAUUACAAAAAGCAUCCCACGGAGAUUGAUUUUGCUCAGGACUCAGGAGUCGACAUGGCAGAGUGCAAAGCUGUAAUCCAUCCUAUACACCGUGGUAGACUUUACAAUUUCCUUGUACUAUGCAGGGGCAUCCUAUACACCGUUGUACUUACAAAGAAGAAUGAAGUGCCGUCCCUUAUGAACUAGCAUAGUAUGACCUUAUUAUUUCCACAAAUGAAGGCAAACAUCUUCAAUUCACUUUCAAGUACACAGGUGACAUUUCAUCAACACCACUCCGUGACGAGUUCCAUUUAUAUCAUAUAUGUAACAUUAUAUACUUACAAUAUGAAUCAAAUUUUCAUCUCCCAGAUAUCCGUUUUCCAGAGCUCCCAACCCACUAACUUAUUUACAAUGAAGAUCUCGGCAAUGUUAGGUCCUGAAGACUAAGAGAUAGAAGGGCAAAUGGUUUUGACAUUUUGUGUGAGGUAUCACAACCUCACAGGCAAGUGUUCAAUCUCUGAAAUUGAAGACCCAAGCUCUCUCUCUUUCAGAGCCUUAUUCCUAAGCAACCUGAAACAGACACAAGUUAGAGAUGGAUGGAGUAACCUAGAAGUAAGAUUCUCCAAUCAUAAGUUCUUAUCCUAAGAAAUGCAAUGCACUUUUUACUAUCAAGCAUACAUGCCCCAUCGCCAUGGUAAAGAAGGAAAAGAAUCAGAAAGUCAGCAGAAGAGGAUCUAUUCUACUGACAGAAAUUUUAACUCUGCUAAUAACUUUUCAUAUUUUUCUGUCACAAAGUGUUGUUUUCGUAGAUUAAUUUCACUAAAAAGGAUGGUAGCCUAUUCAGUCAGUGUACACAUUAACUUUAAAGAUGACCAUAGCAAAAGAAAUUAUAAAGAUGAACAAGUACUCCCAUAAAAUAUCCUCUUGACACGUAAGUAACUUAUACAGUCAACAAAUCUAGGGUCAACACAUAGAAGUCUUUAUGUGUCACCACUAUCUAUUUUUUAGAAGUUAGAAAACCACUCACGUUAUUACAGUUAGAUGAUAUCAUCUGGUUAAUAUGGUAAACCCAUCGGAAACAUGCUUCUUCUCUAAGACUAAGGCCUUGUUUUUGGGAAUUAGAGCACAAAAGGUCGUUGAGGGAAAUGAAUCUAAAGUUUCAGCACACUGACCACGCAAGACACAACAUAUCAUCAUCAAUGAAGGUUGAAGCGACAAUCAGUUAUCAAUAUGUGCACAAUAGUUUGAGAACUAUUGUCCUUCUCAUCAUCAUGUUCCUCAGUGUUGUCAAAAGUUCAUUCCUCCAUCUAUCAUGGUCAGUAAUUUGCUCUGUCAGAACAUAGACAUCAAAAACCCAACCAGCAUGCUAAAUAUCAUUAUAAAACUGGUCUUCAACGCCCCUGGUGUUAAUUUUCUGUUUAUAUCAGGAAUUCACGACAUCAAAAGGAUCUAAACAUAAGAGCAUGAUAUGGACUGCCAUCCAAGGAUGCAACAAUAGCUCUAAUGAGAACAUAGCAAGUAUAGUAUGAACAGUGCAUAGUAUGUGUUGUAUGCCUGAGUUCUCUCUAUAUUUAACAAUUUUAUCGGCAAGCUUAAGAUUUUGGAAAAGUCAACAUGCCACGUUACAAUUAAGAGUAACUUCAGAGUCACCUUGUCCCCUCAAACUACAAGGUUUGCCAGAAACCUACUCUCAAAUACAACCCCAAACGGGCAACUAAACCACUAGGUCCUUUAAUGAUGUCCAUGGAAUCUUUUUUAUCAUACAAAUUAACUAGAAGAGGUGUGCAACUCAGUUACACCCACACUUAACUCUAAAUAUAGUGAAGAUCUAUAUAGAGAGAACAUCGAAUGUGCACAAUAAUGACAACAUUAGCACAAGCCUUAAGAUCAUCUUCCCAUAUCUUUUUAAAGUGGCCACCAGGAAAAUAGAACUGUUGAGAAGGAGCUCCACCAGAACAAUUGGAUUCGUGCACACCAGUGUCACUCUGGGAAAUGGUGCAAUGACUUUGUUUUGGCACGAUAGCCAGCACUGUAGCACAGGCCUUAAGACAGUCUUCCCAAAUCUUUUCAAAGCGGACACCAGGAAAAAUAGAACUGUUCAGAAGGAGCUCACACGUUGGUAUCUCCACAGGAUAAAUUGAAUUAGCCACCCUCACAGAGAUCAUCAACGGUAAUUCAGCCGCAGCCUCAAUCUCCUGAUGACAUCUUCUCAAGGUGGACAGAAAAUGGGAGUACAAGGCGUGUUUGCUUGCCUACCAGGCACAGUUUACCGGCUCCAAGAUUUGGAGGGUUCAUGCAGAGACAAAAUGUCGGUUCUUUCCUUGGUCCAUGCUCCACAAACCUUACGGCAGAUAACCUUGCAGCAAGAGGACGGGGUAUGGCCUCCAUGUGCUUUGCAAUUAGGUGCCAGAGAGUGCUGAGUGUUGACUACCAAUGCAGAAAUUGCCAUUAUACAAAGAUUUGGGAGAUGGUUCGGCUCUGGAAUGGCAAUUUUCCAUCCAGAAUUCACGCUGCUUCAUCGGUUGAUGAAUGGUGAAACGCUGAUAGGUGACAAUUAGUAGUGACAGGAAGCCUUGCUGAACGGCAGAGCUCCUCCCAUUUUCCUCACAGGUCAAGUAAGCGUGAAUGUAACAUAUGAUGCUCUAUAUGAUCCAGACAUAUUAACGGUUAGCAUAACCUAAAUCAUAGCGGCUUAUAAUCUAUACUGCCGAUUGCCAACUGUGCUUGAACAGUGAUUCCUAUAACCUUAGGACAAUCAUUUUGAUGUGGUUCAAUUCAAGUGGACGGCCUUAUGAAAACCCAUCAGGUUUGGGUAUUCAGACAGCUGAACCUGAAUUUGUGCCAGCUGUAGGAGAGCUAGUGCUACGGAUUAACCAGAGUUCAGACGUGCACAAACCCAUUCCACGCAGUAGGAUCACAAAGCUAAAUUACUAUACUAGUACUAUGUGAUUUAAGCAGUCGGAGACGAAACGGAAAUGGCUGAGUGAGCAAGCGGCAUACCUCAAUCGUCGUGAGGAUUGAUAUGAUCCCCAUCCUCGAUGUCAACAUAGUCGUCGUUGUCGUCGUCAUCCUCAUCUGAAGACGAUGAUGAUGAGGAAGAGGAGGAGAAGGAGGAACGGGAGUGCCGAGCUAGCAUGAGGUCCGGGGGCGGGAGCAGGAGGAGGCGCUGGCGGCGGCGAGGGUUGGCGAAGCGGAGAGGGGAGGCGUGGGCGGGGAUGAAGGGGACGCAGAGGAAGGCGGCGAGGCGGGCGAGGAGGUGGAGCGGCCCGCAGCAGAGGAGCGCGAGGACGCGGUCGGGCGGGAGCGUCUCCGGGUUGCACGCCACACGCUGCCACCCCUCCGCCGACGCCCGCGCCACCGCCACCACCCACCCCGCCCGCACCGUCAUUCCUCAGCCGCUUUUUAACCGGCGCCGAUGACGAAUCCCCCACACCCACCCACUCCAAUCCCCAACGCGCCGGAAUGGCGUGCGGCGCACGGUGGGGAGGAGGUAGCGAUUCGAGGCGCGCACGGCACGACCGCCCGCGCGCGUGCGUGGGGGGUUCUCUGCCUCGCUCCGCCCUGCCGCCGUGUGGAUCUCGCCGGCCGGCUCGGAUUUGCCGCUGCUUCUGCCGCCGGGGCAGCGUUUUGGGUUGUUCAAUCGAUUACGGUUGCUGGCGGGGCUGGGGAAUCUGUUGGGCUUUUAUAGCUAAGCUUUAUCUACUCAGAUGCGUACGUGGACUGUAGUGGCUGACUCGACGUGGAGCCCACUCGUCAGUGAUAAAUUUGCUGUUGCGCCUAAAGUUUCUCAGCGAGACACCUUUGAGAUAUUUGAAAAAAACAAGUCAUACAGCAUAGUUUGCAGCAGAAAAAGUAGCGCAGACGAGUCGGACCAACGCUUGAACACAACGCAACUACCUAGCAGUAGCAUGUAAACAUGUAUAAUGAUGGAUAACAUGGCAGAAACAAGGAAUACAGCUGGUUGCCUGGUUAAAGCACAAGUGUUUUGGGCCUCAUAACAAUGUCAGGAUCAUGGAAUAGAAAGGUUGCUACCGAAAGGUAAAGAAAAUAGCAUGGAAAAGCCAGAACGCCUACAGGUGAGGGCCAAUCCUGAAUAUUGAACAUUGAAAAACAGAGCUUUCGGUAUGGAACAGGAACUGUAUCAUCCACAGCAUUUUAUUUCAUGCAUUGUGAUGUGACGAUUAAUGUAAAAAAAAUAGCGACCUCUGUCGAGCACAAAAAAAAAAGGCUUCAUGGAAGAGUUCUCUCGUAAAGGGGGAGGGCUCCCAGUGCUUCACGCUCCGCUGCCUCCUUUUUCACCUGCAACAGAAGUCAAAUUAAACAUGAUGAAAAUAUCAAAAGUAGCAUCACAGCAUAAAAUCAGACAACCAAUUUGAGGCAGGAAUUUGUUCGGUAGUGGCAUCAGACUUGGAAGGAAAUACUUCUAUUUAUUAGUGAUUACUAAGGCAUAUACAAUUACCGAGGGAGUAAGAAGAAUACUAGACUAGACAGUCACAUCUUACAUAGUCUAAGAAUUUGCACAGUGGCUCAUCUUGUACUAAUUUCAUGAAACAGUAGCAAUAAUAGUAAUGAACUAAUGACCGCUGCUCAACCGGCAAAUAACCAAGAACGGCAAGUGGCGAGAUCAAUGACAAUGUUCAUGCUGUCAUGAAUCCUUAAGAUCAUGGUCAAAGUAAAGGAUGUACAUCUACACAGGACAACUUUCGGGUAGCAUAGCUUCAAGAGAAACUUGAUCAAACUGUUUUACAUGAACUUAUAGGGUGUUUGCUUUGAGCAAUCACCUCAUUAUAUCAUUAGUGGAAUGACCCCAUGUCCCCACCCUUUAGUUUGUACUCCCUCCGUCCCAUAUUAAGUGCCGAAAUAUUACAUGCAUCUAGACGUAUUUUAGUAUAUAGAUACAUCCAAAUUUAGAAAAAAUUGAGUCACUUCAUCAAAAGAAACACCCCACUUGAGGCAGAACCUCUAUAUUGUAUGUUUGUCCUGUACAUAUGAUAUCAUAACCAAGAUAGAAGUGCAUUGGGAUUUCAAAUUAGCAUAAUGUAGAAAUGUAAAGUGUGACUGUUUAUGCAAAUAACAAGUGAAAUGACAAAAGGGCGAGCAUCAGCAGAUGGUCAGGUACACUUACCAGAGCUAGCAUGUCAGUCAAAUAGCUUCUGAAUGGUGUCUGCAGUGCCUGUACAAAGAAAGUAAAUGUUUCAGAAGCCUGUGCUUAUCAGAGAAAGAGGUUUCAACGAAUAUUAGUUUGUAAAACAUGUUUCUUAUACAUUGACAUUUCAUAGGUUUAAUGUAUUAAUGGCUUCAGAAAAAAAGGAACUCUGGAACAUCUACAGGACCGACAGAGAAAGAAGGCCAAGCAUUCAUCUAAUCUAAAAUAAGAGCAAAGCUAUCCAGGAAAGCAAGGAUAAAAAUGCAGUACAUCGCAAAAAUGCAGCACAUGGACAUCCAGAAAAAAGAACUCCUAACAGGCUAACACAGAUGCAAACCACAAGUGGAAAAUGACAAGAAACGACAAAUAGGAUCGUCAACAAGAAUGCCUGCAACAAUCUGACCCACCAGCAUGAGGGAAUAUCCUGUAAGAAGCCUACACAGGGAUAUUUCAAAAGGCUUAUCAAACCUAGUCAACCAUAUUUUCGUUAGACAUCUUAGAAGUUCUACCAAUCCUAACAAUCACUAUUCUCAUUCAAAUGUGAAUUGCCAAUUUGCCGGAAACCACUUCUCUCAUCCAACGUUGUUCAAAUCUCCAGCAUAGGUAGAUGGGUUUCUUAGGCAGCCAACAACAUUAAAAUGUACUCCCUCUGUCCCGUAAUUCUUGUCGAAAUAUUACAUGUAUCUAGACAUUUUUUAGGAAUAGAUACAUCCAUAUUUGAGCAAAUUUGAGACAAGAAUUAUGGGACGAGGGAGUAAUAUAUAUACGCUGAAAGGGUGCUCGCCCUUUUUGUUCCACAUUCAUUUCACUCGACUAGCAAUCAUCAACGAUAUAACAGAGACACGGUGCAUCUACUGCAGGGGCUCUCAAAAACACAACCUACACGGAUAGAACUGUAGAACUACGAUAAAAAUAGAAAUAGAAGGGUAGAACUCGUCAUACAAAUCCAUACACCAUCAGCACGAGAACCGCGACCCCCCAUUACACAGAUCGCACGCGCACGGAUCGAGAGAUGCAUCACAGAUCAGGGCAGGACCGGACCUGGAGGUCGUCGGGGAGGUACUGGUGCUUCAUGGAGAGGUCCAUGGCGCGCUUGAGGCGCUGGUGGCGGGCGUCGACAACCUCCCUGGGCAGCCUCCCGAGCGCCUCCUUGAUGUCCAGCUCAAAGUACGGGUCGUACAGAUCGUCGUACCGCAGCCCUUGAAAAUCAUCAUCAUCACACAAACCACAGGCAUAUCAUCUGUCAUUCCGCACAAAUACCGGCCCAGAUCGGCAAUAACACGAACGGAAAAUCGGAUCCGAGGGGAGGGGAGGGUUGGGGUCACCUACCGAAUUUCGUGAGGCGGGAGGCGACGGUGUACUUGUGGAGGCGCGCGAGCGGGUUGCGGCGCGGGUUCACGAACCACUGCGAGAACGCGGACAGCAUCGACGACAUCGUGGGCGGCGGCGGCGGCGUCGAUGGGCGAUCCCGGUCGUCUUCUUCUCUUUGCCUUUUGAUUCGUGUUUGUGUGCGAGAAGAAGAGGGGGCGGAGGUUGUUGUUUCCGUCUUGGGCCGGCGAUGGAGAGGGGCGCUUCAGAAAUAGAAAUGGGCUGAGAAGAAAGAGUAGGGCCUGCCAGUUCCUUUUCUUUUAAAAAAAACGUUUGUUCUUUUCAAGAGAAAUCAUUUACAAUUCUAAAGUUCCCUGAAAAAAUUACGACUAUAAAUUCACUAAAAAAAUAAUUUACAAUUCUAAGGCACUUAAUAUAGGACGGAGGGAGUAUUAAAUUUGAAAUAGAUUAAAAGGAUUAUUACGAUUAUCUUGACUUCUAAAUAGAGCAAAAUUACAACGGGCCAUGGAGGUUCUCAAACUUGUUUUUGCUGUGUUCUUUAGGUUUUAAAAAUCUUUGUUCUUGUACCUUCUCAGAUACUGUAGGAAAUCUCAGUCCAUUAGCUAGCUUUAGAUAGUAUAUUAAUUUAGAAAAAAAGGGCAAGAACCACUGCACCGUUUAAUCAAUUAUUGUCAUCGAUCUCUCUUUUGUACAAAUUCUUAAACACCAUUAUAUGUACUCCAAGAUGGAUACUGGAAAAAGAUUUGCAGGCACACAUAAUACAAAUACAAACACUUAAAUCGGCCUGUUAUAAAAAUGGGGCAAGAAAGGGAGAAAAAAAAACACAAUAUCAAACUCCAUCCUAUUAGGUAAGGCAUCAAGAGCUUCUAUAUACAGAUACAUCAGCUCAACCUCACUCACAUCAACCAAAGGCGACAGUUCAGCCUCACUCACAAAGUCACAAGAUUCACACACACAAGGAAAGCAUCUACGCAUCUGCCUCUCUUUUUGUCUCGUCCUUUUCUUGACGCCAUUGCCAUGGAAAACCAUGUGGUUCUAUACAUAAGAUAAUUGCCGACUCGAACGCGAAAAUCACACACCGUCAUGGCUGCCAUCCAAUCCUUGCAAGAAGCCUAGAGCUUCAGCUUCACCAUGGCCGGGUGAUGGUGCGAGUCGACCAGGAUGGACCACAGGACAUGUACAUCUUCGUCCUGGCAAGACUUGACAUCUUUGUACAGGAUGCGCAUCCCCCUCCCUGCCAAGGAGAACACCAAGCACAACAAUGUCAGCAGUGCCUAACAAUGCUACAAGAAAGAGAAACAAAGCCCAUUCCUUUUCUGUAUACAAUGCUACAAAAAAGUAAUGGUCUGCACAACAACACCAAGAAUAAGAGUAAAUGAGUAAUCGAUAGAUCUUACGGUUUCUCCGUGCAGAAUGUGCCCGGACCAAGAGCUUCCUCACAGGAGAGAAGAGGGAGUGGAGCCACCCCAUGAGGAAGCCUUGAUGAGAGCCUGAGGUUAUGGCCUCAUGGGGAGGGGUGAAAUGAGGGAACAGAGGCUGCAAGGCAUGAAGAAGGAGGAGAAAAUAAAAAGGGUGGGUUAGAGAGGAAGUAACCAUCACGUUUUGCUUUUUGGCACGAGGUGAAGUUUAGUGCACUGUACCCUUCUCCUCCUGACACAUUAUGCUUCCUUGCAACCCAAUCAUGGUACUUUUCAGCGAUUCGUUCUGGUAUCUCGUCCCUUUCCACUUCUUACUCUUCCUACCGCCUGCCUUCGCUGUUAGAAAAGGCCAUGUCUAGCCCCACACCUAACCAUAGAGAAUAAUAAUAUGCUGCCAAUUUUAAAAUCCUAACCCCAGAUUUGAGGAGCCUUUCGUUGAUUUUGUUUUACUUGAAGUUGCUGUUGUACCUGUGCUUUAUAACAUACUGCCUGGUUGCUCCUCUUUUUCAAGGAAAUCAAAACAGCUUGAUUACAACCUUCCUGAUUGGAUGUAUCAUGUACAUACAUAAUUAGUAUUUCAACAAAAUAUUACAGUUUGCUAGAAAUAUAAGAAGCUGGUUACUUGAAUUAAUAAAAUGGGACAGCAGAGGGACUACAGAGGUUUGCUUGGAUAUUAAAUGUUCUUGGCUUACAUGAAAAAUAUUUGCUGCUUUUGGAAGGUGCAGGACUAUGAACAAUCAAACAUUAUUUUGUCUACUUUUAGCAGUAUCAGACCUACCAUCUAGGAUUUUACAGCUUAAUUUACAAAAAUACCACAAUAUGCAAGUAACUUGCAAAUCACUUUUGUAUUAAUAAGUAAUCCUGUAUUAAACUUGUCAUUGAGUUUUUGAAUAAAUUAUCAUACUAUGACUAAUAGGCAUACCUUUUCGCUACUGUGUCAUGUGUUGCUGGUAUGCUGCCCUUGUCAAUAUACAUAGACAAAACUUGACCAAGACUUGAUAUCUUUAAGAUUCAAAAUAUUAAAUGGGACAUUUUACAGAUCGCUGCUUAGCAGAGUGGGGAGUAACAUGUGAUAAAAUGGAAGAGUAAAUAGCUUUACCUUUACAGAAGCUUGUGCAGGAAUAGCAAGGUCCUUUGUUCUCAGUGCGGCACUGUGGGUUCAUCCAUCCAUUGCCAUGUCAUAGGAUUUUAUUUUUAAGGCUAUACUCUCAAUAAUUGAGACUUCACAUCAAUUUAUCUAGUAAGUACAAUGGAGUAAACCUGUUGAUGCUGUGUUAUUCUUACGAGCUCAAUCCAACAUUCAUCCCGACUUACCAGACCAAGCUUAACAAGACGAUAUUGUGAUCUGAACAUGGACAUCAUAAUGGUAACAGCAUCCAACUACACAAGACUUGCUCAUUUCACUGCAGCAAUAUGGCACCAAAAUUCAAACCCACGCUGUUAGUCUCAAGGAAUCCUGUUGUCAGAUCCCAACAUUUGCCAUAUAGCUUGUUUUCAUACACUAGUUACAACUCAUUGGUAUUUAAUAAGUGUGCUGCACAUGACAUGCAUAGCCUGGCCUGAUUGACCUGAUUAGAGCUGCAAGUUUGUGACCCUCAGGGUACCCUUUGACCCUGCUUAGUUCAACCAAAUGAACUAAAGUUUGAAAAUGACACAACUUUUUGAAAAACUAGGGUCAAAGGGUACCCUGAGGGUCACCAUGUUGCACCCUUAGACCUGAUGAUCAACAACUACAACUAAAGCUAGUGCACAGUGCAAAACCCUGGUAAUCCUGGUCCAGCCCAUUUUGCACUCAACCAAAACGUUGUUGCAACUUUGAUUAGUACGAUUUGAUGUAUGACUUCAGCAAAUCCAAUACUGUCGAGAAUAUCAAAUGGAUAUUAUCUUCAGUUGAGACAGCAAAUAGCAUGUGUAAAAUUCAACCAGUAUGGUCGUAAAGUGUUAAGUUUCUUUUCUAAAUGCACACAGUAUGGUUGCGAAGUGAUCAGUAUUGUUUUCUCUAGGCGAAACAACUAUCAGCUACUCCGUACUUCAUUGCACCAAAAAUCACAUAAUCACUUUUCCCAUGUCAGUAUCAGGACACACUAAAAUUUCUUUGGUACUUCAAUCCUCCCUUCAUACAGCCAUGCCUCACUGACUAAGAAAAGUAGGAAUAGUUUCUAGCUAAAAACUAGCACUGCAAUCAGGUAGUCCUCCUGAUAGAAAAAUAAUCCCCUAAGGUAUCAAUCAAUAAACAUUCAGAAAAUAACAACCAUUGGUUCAGAGGUUCUUCUCAAAUGUCACUAUCCAGGGAAGCCAUAUACUUUGUCUGCAUUCACCACAAAUGCAAGCUUUUAUAAAGCUUGAAAUAUAUCUGCAAUUAACCAAGUUGUAGCUACAAUAAAUUCUGGAUGAAUGGACAGGUAACUAACACACAACAGACAACACCCUGUGUCUAAAAGAAACAAAUGGUCUGCGAGCUAAUAUGAGACCAAAACUGUCUGCAUUGAAUGGUUUCAGUGCUGGUUAGAUAAAUUUCAUUGUGAAGGCUCUGUUUGAAUUUAGAAGACUAAAUUGAUGAAUUUAAGAUUGUUUCCAAGAGAUAAAUCAAGCUAGCCAUAAUUCAUGUUAAGCGACACCAACAAGCUCUACUCAUAUCUGUCUAGGUCGAGCUGCACACAGAGUAGAGAUCAAUUCAGGAAACCCAAAGAUCAACUUCAAGCUCCACUAGGUCACAGGUAAAGAAUUUUCUGGACCUAGAGCUAUUUCAGGACUAUCCUUUGUAGUAUUCAUAAUAAUAAUUUAUGAACUGCACUUUUGUAUAUGGCAGUUUCUUUAAUGGAAAUCGGUGGGUAGGCCUACUGUUUAAAAAACUACUACAGCAUAACUAACCAUGUCUUGCUUGCUUUAGUAGGACUUGGUCCAUUUCAGACUCCCAUGACUACAGUUUCAAAAAGAAAAUAUCAUGAACCACACAAUCUUCUGUUGGAAGGGAAGCAUCAAGUGAAUUAAAUGCAUUCAAUAAAAUCACAAAAUACUACAAGAAGCAAAUUAUGAAAUAAAGUGGUGUCCUUAUCUGAGAAGAAAAAAUUGAGCUGUGAGAUUUAAAUGUUUUGUUGAUAACUCAGGAUAAUGCAUUGUUUAAUAUGUCAAACAUCAGAGCUGAAGUGGUCCAGCAAACAAAGCUUAAUUUCAGUGGCUAUCAUUGCCGAUGGUCAAUGCAAUCUCCUUAUAUAAAAAAAACAGAGUUAAGCCUGCCUUACUGGUUAGCCACAUGGUACAUAUCAUCACUACAACAAGAAAAACACUGCAAGAAUGCACACAAAGAAAAGAGGAAAAUUACAAGAUGACCACUUUAAGGGAUUUAUAAAAUGGUAUUCCCUCCGAUCCAUAAAAAGUGUCGCCCACUUAGUACAAAAUUUUUACUGACUUAGUACAAAAUGGGCGACACUUUUUAUGGAUCGGAGGGAGUAUCAACCAAUGUGAAUUUUACGUAUCUUCGUUAAGUUGUAGCAUCUGACUUCAGGGUUCUCACUAUGCUUGUCGGUCUCCUGCAGAAAAUGGGCAUAUUCAGAUGCCUACAUAUAAGCACAAAAAGGACUGUCAUCAGUGUACAGACUUGAUGCUCAAGCAUUCCAUUUGUCUUGAUUCCUCGAAAGAUCCACUUUUGCACAUGGAUAGAAGUUAUAUUGUGAUAUUACUUUACAAGUUUGUUGUGGUAACAUUUGUUACUGGUCAUAAGGGAACAAAAGGGGAGAACAGCAUGUAGAAGUUAGAAGAAAAGAAUCAUUAUAUAAUACCAUUAAUAUUAAAAAAUACUCUGUAUCCGGACUUCCAGUAUAUACCUUACAUCAUGACAACAUUCUUUCUUAGAGCAUUGCCAUAGUUAAACUAGUUAGAGCAUUAGAACCGGUCUCACUUAAGGCACGAGGUAGGGAAAGAAGUGACAGAAACACACAGCAAUAUCACAGAAUCUUGCCAGAUAGUUCAAACACAACGUUUAAAAAGGAUGGCAAAACCAAAAAGGAAAAGAAAAUGAAAAAACAUAUAUUGGAGUCUUCAUAGCACUCCUAAGAACAGACACUCAGUGAAACAUCUUGUUAGCACUAGAAAGGAGGCAAGUGCAGAAACAAAUUAUGAUCCUGCAAGCACCUACUCAACCUUCCAUGCAUAUAGGAUCAGCGAGAAACCAAGACCUUGUAGCUGAGACUCCCUAAAAAUCUGUGAGUAUGACCACGGCAUCGACUUCUCAGGUGCUUGGGAUGUCUGAAACAUGAACACUGCAUUGCUUGUCGACGAUCCAAAGAGCCAACUGUGGACAUCCCAGAACACCUCCACAGGCAAUCCAUCGACGAGAAUUGUCUGAUUUCCCCUAAACUUCCAUGCCAGCCUCUUCACCUGCAUGACCGGUUUCUUAUCGAUACGUAUCUCAAGACAUGGAUCCUUGAGGCUGACAGCAUCGCACUCUAUCACAACAUCAUGAAACUGGCCAUUGUCGCAGAACUGCGCCUUCGCUGAGUAAAUCUUCUUACCAUAUAUGUGCUCUCUCCUUGCUACGAAAGCGGCGUUCGACAUGGGUCGAUUCAUGCCGGUCUUCCGGUAGGCGUCCUUUUUCAUGUCACCGAGCAAGAGCACCAGCUCAAGGUCGAACACCACAGCGACAUAGAACCCCUCCAGUGGUUCUGGCCCUGUGCUGAACUUGGCGCCCGAGAGGUCCCAGAAGAUCUCAAUCUUGCCGCUGUCGACGUCGAGGCUCUUGGACCCCUUCUUCUUGGAAAAGAGCCAUGGCUUAAUUUCUGCCUUGCACAGGGACUGGCCGGACAAGCCGUCCACGCCGAUGCUGAGGCCCUGCCCCAUGAGGCUCUUGCUCCAUGUGACCGAGAUCACGCAGGGCCUGCCCGAGAACUGCGCCUGGUAGAGGCAGGUCACCAGGUUCUGUGCCGCGCCCUUGCCGGCGCUCGACGAGGACGACGCCGCGUCCGCGAUCUGGACGCCGCUCUCCCCGAAGCACGAUGGGAAGUCCCUCAUGCUCCGAACUUUUCAGCGAACACCUUGCGUGCAACCCAGCUCAGAGCACAGCGCGAUGCCCCCACUCCUCCACUUGAGCUCCCCCGCAAUGCCGGCCAAGGGAAGCGGCGGCGCAGAGCUCUCUCCUGCCAGCAGAUAUACAGACUGCCGCAGAAGAUAAUUUUUUUUUGCUCGAUCCAGCAACGCCGCCGCAAGUGACCGCGAGAUCCCCAACCUUUACUGCCGAAAGCAGCAGCAAGAACCGCCCAAAAAGCAAAGGGCCCGAGGCAGAGCGAUCGAUCCGGCAGCAAGCUUCCCUCACGAAGCCGCCGUCUUCCAGUGCAAUCAAAGCGAGGCCACACGCUCCCGGCCAGCCUUGCCCCGAAACCGCGGCAGGGAAGCAACCGUCUUUCACACAGAUUUCUCCAGAAUCGGCCCCAAAUUGCCACAGAAGCAACCGCACGAAGAACAGCAAAGCAACAUGAAAAUUUCUUCCCCGGGUAAGGAUUCAAGCCAAGAGAGCCUGCAGGCAGCCACGAGAAGACGGAGAGAUAUGUGGAGACAUGGGAGAGGAGGCCAGGGAGUACCAGCAACCAGUGCGCUAGGAACCGCAGGAGGCAACGAGGAGGAGCAAGCAAAGCAAGAAGCAGCAAGGAAGUGAAGAGUAGCAGCCAGGAGGAGUAGGAGAGUAGUAGUGACUCACUGGGGGAAAGGAGACAAAAGGUUUGGGGGGAUCAAAUCAAUGGAGCCCUACUACAAGAUGCCACACAACAACACACUCACUGUCAGCCAACUCAUGGUGGUGGAGGAGAAGAGGAGCAGGUGCUGCCUGCUCUCCUUUCUCUUUUGUAACUGCUGCCAUGCCAUUUGCCCAUGGUUUGUAGCCUAGCCUGUUUACAAUCUUGCAAGCUUCCUGGGAAUCUAGGAACUCCCUUUAGAAAAAGAAAAGCAGAGCUUCUUGAAGAUUGAGAUCUUACUACCAAGACAACAGCAGGAAAAAUUCAGUUCGUGGCUGGGUGUGAAAUUAUCAGUCCAACUGUAUGAAUAGGAUAAGCCGUUUUUUAAUAUCAUUGGAUCAAUAAGCUAGGAGGAGGAGGUGAAGAAAUCCAAUGUUGGAGACAAUUGUCAGUGUGUCACAAUGUUGGAAAGAAUUUGGUCCUCUGGGUGGUACUUCCUCUCUCUUCAUCAGUCUUCAUUGAGUCUAUGCUGCCUUUUGCCAUGAGAAUGUCAGCAGCUUUAAAAAAAUAUUUUUCCAUGCAGGGGAGGACAAGUUCACAUGCAUCACAGUGAAAAAAUGACCGGAGGGUGUACCCUGCUACAGAUACUCCAGUGUUUACUCUGGGUACCCCAUCUCUUGCUGUUUUUCCCUGGCAUGGUUUUAGUUAUAGAAAUGUGCUUACAAGAUUAUACAUGUCCACUUGAUUGUUAUUAUUGCAGAGUGGGUGUAAGAUGGGUCUAAUCCUGUGUAGGUGAUGAUGCCCCCCCAAAUAUUUUUAACAAAAAAAAGGCAAAGGCAAAUUGAGCAUUGUAUUGCCAUGUUUACCCUUCUCUAUGUGUAUACUUAUUUAUAUGGUGACACAUGCUUUCUCAAUUAUUGCCUCCAUAUGAACUGUUGAUACAUACACCAUCCAUUUCUUAUGCACUCCAUGAUUGAGAGUGCACAAAUUAAGUACAGAAUUCUAUUCCAUAGAUUAUUUUCUCUCCAAGUUGACUUUAGAUCAAGUGAAGACCUAGUGCUAGCACCGGUACUAGAAAUAUUUUUUGUCACAUGUAAGUACAUGCCAAUAAGUAAAGAAUGCACAUGGAGAAACAAAUGAAAAGGAUGGUUUUCAUGCAGUCUUAAAUUGCACCAAGGCUCGGGCGCUCCGUCAAGCUGUUAGAUGCAACUGGACACUUCCUCCCGACUGUGAACUUCAACGGUCUGGACCAGAUUGGGUUCUUUUAUCCUUGAGAAGAGUAAAUGAUGAUUGUAGGGGAAAACUGAUGCUUAUUUGGUGGAGAUCCUGGCACUUGAGGAAUGACAUAAUCUUCAGUAAAGGUGACGCUUUUGUUACUGCCUCUGCUCAGUUCUUAUUCAGCUAUGCAAAGACUUUGGCUUCUCUCGAGGGCCGUAUCCCUGCUCCAGACCCCAAAGGGAAAUCUCCUCUGUUUGAUAUGAGUGCUGCUCCUCUGAUGCCGGCGACGCAAAAAUUGUUUAAAUGGAAACCACCCGAGACGGGCUGGAUAAAGCUGAAUGUUGAUGCUAGCUUCUUUGCAAGUUCUGGUGCUGCUGCUUGGGGCGCGAUCAUCAGGGAUGAGAAUGGCAGUGUCCUUGUCUCGGCCUGGAACUUGAUCAAUCACUGUCCGAAUGCGGAGACGGCAGAAGGGACUGCUUGCUUAGAGGGGAUUAAUUUGGCGAGACAGUUCUGCAACUUGCUUUUGGUGGUUGAGAGCGGCUGCCAAAGCCUCAUUUCUCUGAUCUGGGCAUACUUCGAGAGCCCCCCUGCGUUCUACUCUUCUGGAUAUCCGUCAGUUAGCCCUGUUGUUUAUUAGAUUUCAGUUUACUAGUAGGCUUAAUAACAGUGUGGCUCACGAGAUUGCUAAUUUCUGUCUUAGAGUCUCUUCAGGUGGUGUUUUAAGGAGAGGUGUGCCUCCCUGCGUGGAGUGCCUGGUGGAGUACGAUUGUAAUAACUUUGUUUCUUGAGUAAUUUAAAACCCCCCUUUCAAAAAAAAAAGAAACAAAUGAAAACUACCAGUGGUACCGGUAGUUUGUUUGUGUACCCCAAGCUGUGAGAGAACUGAAAUCAAUGGGAAUGACAACGGUUUUCUUGGAUCUGGGCCCCGCUCAUCUCAUCAGUUAACUGCACGCCCACGAGGGUGCAUUUAUUCACCUCCUCAGGAGAUCCAUACUCUUCUCCCCCCUUCAGCUGCUUCAUCUCCAAGCAAAGGUACCCAGAAAUUUGACACAUUUUUAAAGGAUCAAAUUCUGCAGUCUGGAGGAGCAACGGGGCUCUUCCAAUUCGAAGAAAAGGGAAGAAAUUAAGAGAGUUAUUUGCAAGUUUGUAUCACAAGACGCGUUUAUUAGUUUUCUUGUCCCAACUGCUUCAAGCAAAAUCUUAAACUGAUUCAAAGGGUUUAACUAUAUGAUUGAAUUAAUAAGUUAAAUUAAUCAUCAUACAUACACUGUUGUUUGUAUAUGUUUUCGGGGAGUCGGUGAGGUGUAACUUCCAUUAGCAUACAAACUUGAGAUUUAAAUUUUAAAUUUGCUUUGUCUUUUGCGGUGACCUUUAAAGUGAAGAAGGUGAACACUUUCUGUACUAAUCUUGCACCCACCUCACUUGAACCAAAGCAAUGCCGUACUACUCCUGUGGAGACAUGGAGUAGAACGCUAUCUGUUGAACACCUUAUUUCUUCGGGUACAAACUUUGCUGUUCAUGAAGAACUUUCCUCGUUCAGGGCCCCAUCUCAAUUACUGACCUAAGCCAACCAAACAUAAUGGUAGGUAUAUAGCUGGUGUUCAGUAGCCAAUUUCUCCCAACACUCUGUCAGCAGGGUGUUAACUAACGUGAUGUUAUAAUUACUCAAACUGAAAUCAACUAUUAGUAUCACUCCCUUUUUCUAUCAGAGUGAAAUGUUGGAUGAAUUUAGAGGGCACACUUCCAUUCGUAGGAUUGAUUCCAAAAAUGGAGAAGUCAAGAGAAUUUGGCAGAGAAACAAUCUGCAGUGUAAAUUUGUACUUUUCUGUCACCUUACCUGAACACACACACAAAAAAAAAUGCAAAGUUUUGGAUCAUGCAUGGUACAAAAUGUACGUUUAAUCCAGGAAUGCACAUGCUUUGCUGUACAUUUGAAGCAGGGAAUAAUGCACACACAGCGGUUGUCACUUUGCUUUCUGGCCCUGCUGGCAACCCUUUUGGCAUGAUACGAGCAUGUCCAUUUUGUAUCCUCCAAGAUACGAUCAUGCCGAUGCAUGCACGCAUAUAUGCACAGAUCGGUCGACCAGGAAAUAUACGUGUGUGCAGAUCGAUGGGCGUUGCUGAUGCUGCCAUCCAGAAGAAGUUAAUGAGAUUACGAUCAUUUUGAUUUGGUGAUGGCAAGAAAGAUUGCGUGCUUUUGUAUAAUUGAGACAUGAGCAUAGCAUUGUUUUUGAAUUUUAGGUAUCAUGUGCGCCUUUGAAUGAUAGAAAUAGUUAAUGAUGGAUUUAUGCAUGAAAAUAUGGCCAUCGCUUUCUUACAGAAACGAAAUCCGACAAGAGAGAAGGUGCAGAAGCCAAAUUAAAAUUCUUUUAUGUAUAAUUUUCGUUUAAUUAUCUUGAGCGAGCUAUCUGGCAAAUCUGAUUACCUUGUUGGUAUCACUCCCUCGGUUUAUAAAUAUCUGUAAAUGCAGUUUUUUUACAGAAAAAAUAAAUAUUUGUGUCUGUUCUUUGAGAUGAUUAUUAUGCAUUUUUCUGAGGACUGAAGAUAUGAAUAGUACAAAGUUCAUUUUAUCAUGUGUAUGCUGCAAGGAAAAAAAACUAUAUUAUGCCCCUGAUUUGGUGGCAAUGAUCGAAAUGAAAAGGCUAGCUAGCAGCUAAGCUAAUGAGCGGUGACUUUACAGCUUACGGGCAAAUUAAUUAAGAGCCUAACCAUCGAUGAGGGACAAAAAGUGACAUGCAUGCGUUACCAACAGUGACUUCUUUUAGAUAUGAUACUGAAUGGAGCACUCCUAUUAGCUAGCUGUCAGGAGCACUCAGAUGUUGCUAAGCCUGCUGAUAAUAUUGUCUGGGAUUGAAGGAGCAUAGUUAGAUAACCAAAAGAACUCCUGUUAGUUGGCUGGUUGGGCUCCAUUUUCCUAUACAAAAAAGUUCUCCCAAAUAUUCACCAGCCGUGCCGAUGUAUGUUCAUCGGCAGGGCUGGUUCUUCCAACUACCUCGGUGAGUGGUGAUCCGAUAACCGCUAACUUUUUUUAAUAAUACAAAUUAAAUAAUUAUUUUUGAAAAUAAUAAGUGUUUUUCAGAAUUUUCAAAAAUAAUACGUCCUCGGUAUGGGCGAUUAGCUUCAGUUGGCCUGACCGAAACCGAUUAGGACAACUAAUCGGCUUGGGCGAAGCUGAUUAGUUCCAGUUGGUUUGGGCGAAGCUGAUUAGUUCUAAUUGGUUUCGUCCAAGCCGAUUGGAACUAAUCAGAUCUGACUGCACUAAUCAGUUUCUCCUAAGUUACUUAGUUGCAUUAUCAAUGCAUGUUUAAAUAGACGUAGCUUGUGUUUCGUCCACAAACCUAGCAAUUCGACUGAAAUUAAGGCACAACUGAAAUUAAGAUAACAAAUUAACAUAAGCUGGUUACAGAACUGAGGCACGAUUGGACUGAAAAUAAAACAAAUUGUCCAAUCGUGUCUCAGUUCUGUAACCAGCUUCUUUAAUUUUCUCUCUGAAUUUCAGUCGAAUUGCUGGGUUUGUGGACGAAACACAAGUUAUGUCCAUUUAAACAUGCAUUGACCAUGCAACUAAGUAGCUUGGGAAAAUUGAUUAGUUCAGUCGGAGAUGAAUAGUUCCAAUCGGCUUGGGCGAAACCAACUGGAACUAAUCAGCUUCGGCCAGACCAGGCCCUAAUUGGCUUCGGCUAGGCCGAUUGGAGCUAUUUAAAAAAUGAUUAUUUAAUUCAUAUUAUUUUUUAAAAAAUAACCCCGAUAACCAGCAGGUUACAGGAUGAAGUAUGGAAGUGUGGUCAGAGUGGAUUAAUUAUACACAGAUAUGGUUUUCACGCAUAUAUUUGUAGACGCUCUAUUCCAGAUUAUUAGAAGUUUUAUUUUACCUUUGUCCUAUAAUCAGGAUUUUUAAAAAAGGUCGACCAAAUUAGUUACUUUUUUACGAAUAUUUAUACUCUCAAAGAAGUACAUACUAUUAUGAAAAUAUAUAUCAUGAUGAUUUAGUGGAAAUAAUAUGGUAUAUUUUCUUGUAAACUUGUCAAACUUUAAGAAGUUUCGAUUAGGACAAAACAUAAAACAUCAUAUAGUUUGAAGAUUCACGAGCUUAUUUUGGGUCUCAAUUCUAGUACUAUCUCCGAUCCAUAUUAAUUGUCGAAAUAUUACAUGUUUGAACACCUCGAGAGACCGAGCCGGCAGUUCUUGAGAAAUGACGAAGUCACCGUAGGCGUCUCGUUGUUAACUGGUACGUCACCUACCAAUGAAAAAAUAGCGCCGAUUAAAUCCUGAAAUAAAUCCAGGUAAAUAUGAACACCCAUGUCAAAUUUAGAUCUUGAACAUGAGUGGGCUAGUUCCAUCAAAGGAACCAUCCCAACUGAGCCAGUUCACUUCUGACUUGGAGCCUGAAGUAGCUGCAGAUGGGCUUUGCUUGAUCUACACUUAUCCCCUUUAAUUUUCUCGCGCUUUUUGUCAGGGGUCGUCGAGUUGCUCCAGCUAGCUAGCUAGGGCCGGUGAGCUCGGGAUCGAUCGUCGAUUAUCCCGGUGUACGUACUUAUUGCUUGCUUUUUUGCGGGAUGAAUCGGUUGCUUGACUUACGGCCGGCUACCGGAUAAUUGAUUCAGUAUAAUUACAAUUAACGUGCAGUGCAGGGUCAUCGUGGGGGAACACGUACGUGUUACUAACAUGAAAAUAAUAAGCUCACUCGUGGAGCAGGACGUUUUUUAGACAUGAAUACAUUCAUGUUUGAACAAAUUUGAAUCAUUUAGUAUGGGACGGAGGGAGUAGAACUUUAGAAGUACAGUUCCACGUGCACCUAGUAAGUACUGCGCUAAUUGUUUAUGUCGUUUUGGACCAAAGCCGAGAACAAGUUAGGAGUAAUAAACUGAACGAAGAAUGGACAUUCAGAUCUCUGGCGUGACAAUUUUUCUUUCAUCUUGUAACAACUCUGGCUUUGAAGCGUGGAAUAAUAUAUUCAUGUUCUGAGUCUUUCAUCCCGAUGAUUGCCUAAAGAAAACUGAAUGAGGAACGAUUCGUACACGUUCGCAGGUUACAACUAGUACCGGCGCCGGAUGGAUCGAGUCCGCCGACACGAGACUAGUAAAAGGAAGCCAUAGCUUAGCCGGUACGCGGUAGCGGCAGCAGAGUAGCCUGCUUUCGGCCUCUGCAUAUAUCACUGCAUGCGCCCGGUCGGUUCUAACACCUGUCCCUCGUCCCAUCAGGCAUCAGCAACCGAAGCGUAGCACGGAACGCACGGUCGGUCGUUUCCUUGACGUACCGCAUGCCUAGCUUGUUUCUGAAACCACACGUGUACUGGGCUACUGGUCGCAUCAAGCGCCGAAAUUAAUCGGUUAAACCCGUACCGUACGUACGUGUUCCUUCCGACUAAUGGAUGGAUGGAUGGAUGGAUUGAUUCGGGAGUGCAUGCGCCUUCUUCAUAUUUUUUUGCUGCUUUGCUUCUCUUCAACUGUUCCAGCGCCUAAUAAGCCGCCGUGCACCGUGGGCCGGCGACGGCCCCGAUUAGCACAAUACCGCAUUCUUUUUAAUUAAUUUUCUUCUUCCAUGUUUCAUAAUUCUUGUCUCAAAUCUAGAACGGAAGAAAGGAGCUGUUUCAUAAUUCUCGUCUUAAAUCUAGAACGGAAGAAGGAGCAGGUG